GUGGGGAAUAUUGGUCAAUGGACGAAAGUCUGAACCAGCCAUGCCGCGUGAAGGAUGAAGGCCCUCUGGGUUGUAAACUUCUUUUAUCUGGGACGAAAAAAGGGUAUUCUUACUCACUUGACGGUACCAGAGGAAUAAGCACCGGCUAACUCCGUGCCAGCAGCCGCGGUAAUACGGAGGGUGCAAGCGUUAUCCGGAUUCACUGGGUUUAAAGGGUGCGUAGGUGGGUAUUUAAGUCAGUGGUGAAAUCUCCGAGCUUAACUCGGAAACUGCCAUUGAUACUAUUUACCUUGAAUGCCCUGGAGGUAAGCGGAAUAUGUCAUGUAGCGGUGAAAUGCUUAGAUAUGACAUAGAACACCAAUUGCGAAGGCAGCUUACUACGGGGUGAUUGACACUGAGGCACGAAAGCGUGGGGAGCAAACAGGAUUAGAAACCCCGGUAGUCC
Molecule: ribosomal RNA, 445 nt
Filed under: uncultured bacterium
Lineage: Bacteria
Description: partial 16S ribosomal RNA
Rfam family: Bacterial small subunit ribosomal RNA
Source: RNAcentral